This is a long non-coding RNA of Zingiber officinale, 1107 nucleotides long. RefSeq lists it as uncharacterized. The transcript has 2 exons. The record is from RefSeq and is a predicted model, not a curated record. NCBI's taxonomy places the organism in Eukaryota, Viridiplantae, Streptophyta, Magnoliopsida, Zingiberales, Zingiberaceae.
AAUGCCUCUUUUCUUCACCCAAUCGUUUCUUCUCCCCACCCAUCUCCUCUCUUCUCAUCGCCACCCAACGACGUCGAUCAUCCUCCUUGCACCAUCGUCGACCACUGUGGCUUGUCGUCGGACGCUGAUCGCCGCACACUGCCCCUCUCCCAAUCUCCCUUCUCCUUUCUUCGUCUCUGCUCCUCAUCACUCCGCGAGGCUUUCUUUGAUCUCGUCGACGUCGAGCUCUUUUCGACCUAGCCACCGGUCGCGGGAGAGCAUGCCACUGCCUCUCCUUCCUCUCGAAUACAUUGAGGCGUUGUUUCACCGCGCAAUCAGCCAGAUCCUCUCUUCCCUAGACACGAUUAGCAUUGUCGCGCCAUUGUCGUUGCUAGGGUUGAGCCACCGGCCUCCCCUCAGCCUUGAUGUUGCUCCACCUUUCUGCCCCUCUCGUGCUCUAGCUACGCUACUCCGAUUGCCACUAUGUGUUUUCAUCAUCGACGUCAUCCCUUCCAGCGUGCGCGAUCGGCAGCCAGGGCCAGCCACUGCCAACGCUGAGCCCUUCUCCUUGGAGCAGCCACCUUGUUCUUUUCUCCACCCACGAGAGGUUGUGGGUUGCAGAUCUAAUCCGUAGCAUUUCAGCAUUUGUUGAGUUUCGGCCAGCAAGCAUUGAUUUGUGGUAUUUGAGAUAGAGGCAGCAACUACACUCGACUUCGACUGUAAUUCUUGGCAGCCAACAUCUUCAGCUUUGGAUCAACAACGAUGCAUCCAAAUUUAGGUAGAUGAUCAAGCAGUUGCUUGGAGGUAUUCUGUCUGCCAGUCCCACGUCACAUUGGAAGAUGAUUUAUCUCACAUCAUGAUUUCUUUUCAUAUAUUCUUUAUUGUUUAGCAUUAUAAUGGUAUUUAGCCAUGUGGCCAUUUUAUUAUUUUUGGUGUUGUAUAAGUUCGACUUUAUUUUGGAGUUUGCUAUGUGGAGUUGUCUUUGUUUUGUUGUGGUUGUGUAAGCCUAGCCGGCUAGCAGUCUAUGUGUUGUUUUUAUUUGUAUGAGCUUUCUUUUGUUUUUGCUAUGUUUUUAGUAUAGUCGUGUGAGUUGUUUAGUAUAUAUAUAAUUGUAUAGUUGUGUUUUUA